GGAUUCCCCUAGUAACUGCGAGUGAACAGGGAUUAGCCCAGCACCGAAGCCUGUGGUUAUUUGACUGCAAGGCAAUGUGGUGUUUAGGUUUGUUCUUGGCACUACUGCUCUGCCCCAAGUCCAGCAAUGAGUACGGCAUACCGUUCUGGCCCAAAGAGGGUGAAAGGCCCGUGGGGGUAGAGACCAAGCAUGACAGUUUUGUCCAGAGCUUACCUUGGAGUCGGGUUGUUUGAGAAUGCAGCCCAAAGUGGGUGGUAAACUCCAUCCAAGGCUAAAUACUUGCACGAGUCCGAUAGUAAACAAGUACCGUGAGGGAAAGUUGAAAAGUACUUUGAAGAGAGAGUAAACAGUGCGUGAAACCGCUCAGAGGUAAACGGGUGGAGUUGAACUGCGAUCCCUGGGAAUUCAGCUGGUGAGCAUGAUUUGUGCUUGGGCAUAUUGGCCGCCUUUCAGUGUCUGCUUAACUGCGGGUGCCUACCUCUGGUGGGUAUGUGUGGUGCGCUUAUCAUGUGCCGCACGCAUUGGAGGGUGUAUGGGUCUGCUUGCCAGUGCACUUUCUCAGGGUGUUCACCACGACCGGCGCUGCUGUCUGUCUGCUGUGGUCAAACUGGUCAGGUCUGAUUAACGUUGGGCUUGGUUGGGUUGGCAGGUGACUCACUGGUCCACUCUGUGGGCUAUGAGUGUUACUAGCCGGCUAUAGUGGAUCUGUACGGUGCGUCGGAGACGGCGGCUUGGCGUAUGCGCUCUGUCCUUCAGGCGUGGUUGAGUCUGGUCAGCUUGUUGCUAGCUUCGGCUGGUCAGUUGAUGGCUUGAUCAUGUUCAGUUGGCAGUUGUGUGUGUGUCUUAGUUUGGGCCAAUAGUCUGUGGUGUUGUGGUAGACUAUCCACCUGACCCGUCUUGAAACACGGACCAAGGAGUUUAACAUGUGCGCGAGUCAUUGGGCGUUACGAAACCCAAAGGCGUAGUGAAGGUAAAGGUUCGGCUUGUCCGGGCUAAGGUGAGAUCCUGUUGUUUUGCUCAUUAACUCCAAGAUGCGAGCAGCAGGCGCAUCACCGGCCCGUCCCAUGGCGUAGACAUGUGGCCUUGUGCUAUGUGCACCGUCGGGGCGGAGCAAGAGCGUGCAUGUUGAGACCCGAAAGAUGGUGAAGUAUGCUUGCGAAGGUUGAAGCCAGAGGAAACUCUGGUGGAGGACCGUAGCGAUUCUGACGUGCAAAUCGAUCGUAUAACGUGAGUAUAGGGGCGAAAGACUAAUCGAACCAUCUAGUAGCUGGUUCCCUCCGAAGUUUCCCUCAGGAUAGCU
This 1300-nucleotide ribosomal RNA is filed under the name Schistosomatidae sp. MSB Para 7966. RNAcentral's name for it is "eukaryotic LSU rRNA". It matches the Rfam family "Eukaryotic large subunit ribosomal RNA", at positions 72 to 983 of the family's 3401-position model. Lineage: Eukaryota; Metazoa; Platyhelminthes; Trematoda; Strigeidida; Schistosomatidae. The record is from RNAcentral.